RNAcentral lists this long non-coding RNA (592 nucleotides) under Homo sapiens (human). RNAcentral describes it as "long intergenic non-protein coding RNA 2497". Lineage: Eukaryota; Metazoa; Chordata; Mammalia; Primates; Hominidae. The record is from RNAcentral.
AGGUACAGGUCUGCUUACCAUUGAAAGAAUCACUGUUUACUAAUACGUCAUUGAUUUCGGUUCUGGAUUCAGUUUAAAAAAAUAUUACACACGCAGAUAUAUGUGUGGAAAGAAAGAAUGGGAGAAAAAGUGAAUAAAAACACCAUGGAAAAAUUAAUUUGGUAAUACGAAGCAUGGGCUACAUUUCCUGAUUUCAUUUUGUGAUUUGAUGUUAGUCAGUAAACCUGUGAUUAUAUGCUACCCACAGUGAAGGUGAAUUCCAUAUAUCCAAUGAAGUUUUUCAGAAAACAUCUUAGCUUCUUACAGAAGAAGAAGCAUGAAAUGGCUUUUCACCUCCACCUGUAUGCUGUUUCUAAGCUCAUGAAGCUAGGAUUUGCCAUGGGGAACCUAGAGAGCAAGAGGAUUGCUCACUUAAGGGGAAACUAACUACCACGUUAUGCAGCUCUACUGUAAAAAUGCACAGGGCUCUUCGAAAGACUGAAAAAAUUGACAGGACCAGAGAGAGUCCAUCUAGAAGAAUGUCAAACAAACCACUGAAGUAACGUGUUGACAAAAUAACAGCUCUAAUAAAUUGCAAUUUGACUAUAAAUAA